Molecule: ribosomal RNA, 459 nt
Filed under: uncultured bacterium
Lineage: Bacteria
Description: partial 16S ribosomal RNA
Rfam family: Bacterial small subunit ribosomal RNA
Source: RNAcentral
CCUACGGGAGGCAGCAGUGAGGAAUAUUGGUCAAUGGGAGAGAUCCUGAACCAGCCAAGCCGCGUGAGGGAAGAAGGCCCUAUGGGUUGUAAACCUCUUUUGUCGGAGAACAAAACCCGGGACGUGUCCCGGACUGCGUGUAUCCGAAGAAAAAGCAUCGGCUAACUCCGUGCAAGCAGCCGCGGUAAUACGGAGGAUGCGAGCGUUAUCCGGAUUUAUUGGGUGUUAAGGGUGCUUAGGCGGUACGUUAAGUCAGCGGUAAAAUGGCGGGGCUCAACCCCGUCGAGCCGGUGAGACUGGCAGACUUGAGUUGGCGAGAAGUACGCUGAAUUCGCGGUGUAGCGGUGAAAUGCAUAGAUAUCGCGCAGAACUCCGAUUGCGAAGGCAGCGUACCGGCUCCAGACUGACGCUGAGGCACGAAAGCGUGGGGAUCGAACAGGAUUAGAUACCCUGGUAGUC